Non-coding RNA from Gymnothorax javanicus (giant moray), 78 nucleotides. The record is from the annotation of a GenBank genome assembly. Lineage: Eukaryota; Metazoa; Chordata; Actinopteri; Anguilliformes; Muraenidae.
GGUAGCAUGGCCGAGCGGUCCAAGGCGCUGGAUUAAGGCUCCAGUCUCUUCGCAGGGUUCAAUCCUCUGCUGCCAUUA